Molecule: ribosomal RNA, 447 nt
Filed under: uncultured bacterium
Lineage: Bacteria
Description: partial 16S ribosomal RNA
Rfam family: Bacterial small subunit ribosomal RNA
Source: RNAcentral
AACGAACGCUGGCGGCAGGCUUAACACAUGCAAGUCGAACGCAUCGCAAGAUGAGUGGCAGACGGGUGAGUAACGCGUGGGAACAUACCCUUUUCUACGGAAUAGCUCUGGGAAACUGGAAUUAAUACCGUAUACGCCCUACGGGGGAAAGAUUUAUCGGGGAAGGAUUGGCCCGCGUUGGAUAAGCUAGUUGGUGGGGUAAAGGCCUACCAAGGCGACGAUCCAUAGCUGGUCUGAGAGGAUGAUCAGCCACAUUGGGACGGAGACACGGCCCAAACUCCUACGGGAGGCAGCAGUGGGGAAUAUUGGACAAUGGGCGCAAGCCUGAUCCAGCCAUGCCGCGUGAGUGAUGAAGGCCUUAGGGUUGUAAAGCUCUUUCACCGAUGAAGAUAAUGACGGUAGUCGGAGAAGAAGCCCCGGCUAACUUCGUGCCAGCCGCCGCAGUAA